UACGUAGGGCGCAAGCGUUGUCCGGAAUUAUUGGGCGUAAAGAGCUCGUAGGUGGCUUGUCACGUCGGGUGUGAAAGCUUGGGGCUUAACUCCAGGUCUGCAUUCGAUACGGGCUGGCUAGAGGUAGGUAGGGGGAGAACGGAAUUCCUGGUGUAGCGGUGAAAUGCGCAGAUAUCAGGAGGAACACCGGUGGCGAAGGCGGUUCUCUGGGCCUUACCUGACGCUGAGGAGCGAAAGCGUGGGGGAGCGAACAGG
Molecule: ribosomal RNA, 255 nt
Filed under: uncultured bacterium
Lineage: Bacteria
Description: partial 16S ribosomal RNA
Rfam family: Bacterial small subunit ribosomal RNA
Source: RNAcentral